This is a long non-coding RNA of Passer domesticus (house sparrow), 377 nucleotides long. RefSeq lists it as uncharacterized. Lineage: Eukaryota; Metazoa; Chordata; Aves; Passeriformes; Passeridae. The record is from RefSeq and is a predicted model, not a curated record. The transcript has 3 exons.
CACACUCAUCUUUGAUGUUGAGAAGAUGCUGGGACAUCACAUUCCUGAGAAUGAUCUCUACUUGAUUGGAUAUUUUCAGUCAAUAAUUAUGUGACAGGAUGGCUGAUACAGACAUCACGCAGAGAAGGCUGAACCUUUUCAUCUUGGAGUGGGUGAUUGUGAAAAGCAUCUAUGCAAUUAUUCAAAUUGCUUGAGUUACUGUCGGUAGAGAAGGAUUGUGUGAACAGAAGGAAGAGCCUCUGAAACAUCCCCACUGGAACUCUGCAUUGGUCAAACUCUGGAAAACUUAUUGAAAAUAUCCAGGUAGAAUUCACUGGGAGCAAUUGAGAGAUAAUAAUAAACAACAGUAACAAAAAAAUAGAUUCAGAGAAGCACAC